AGCCUACGGGGCGCAGCAGUGGGGAAUAUUGCACAAUGGGGGGAACCCUGAUGCAGCGACGCCGCGUGAGUGAAGAAGUCAGUCGUGACGUAAAGCUCUAUCAGCAGGGAAGAAAAUGACGGUACCUGACUAAGAAGCCCCGGCUAACUACGUGCCAGCAGCCGCGGUAAUACGUAGGGGGCAAGCGUUAUCCGGAUUUACUGGGUGUAAAGGGAGCGUAGACGGCAGCGCAAGUCCGAAGUGAAAGCCCGGGGCCCAACCACGGUACUGCUUUGUAAACUGUGAAGCUGGAGUGCGGGCGGGUC
RNAcentral lists this ribosomal RNA (305 nucleotides) under uncultured bacterium. RNAcentral's name for it is "bacterial SSU rRNA". It matches the Rfam family "Bacterial small subunit ribosomal RNA", at positions 335 to 658 of the family's 1533-position model. The record is from RNAcentral.